Non-coding RNA from Paramuricea clavata, 551 nucleotides. The record is from the annotation of a GenBank genome assembly. Lineage: Eukaryota; Metazoa; Cnidaria; Anthozoa; Malacalcyonacea; Plexauridae.
UUCUCCAUUUCACCAGAAGUGAUGCUUGCCAUAUGAUAAUAGUUUAUAAUUGCCCGAUUUCAGUUUAAUUAAAGUCUCUUAUCCAGGACAUUUUUCAAUAGCCAUCUAAUAGUUAUACAUCAUACUAUCAUAAACUAAUAGGUUAAUAAUAAAACUACUAACAUGCUUAAUAUUGAACUGAGAUCAGGCUCUACUUCAAAAAUAGAACCUGACACAAAGUCCCAGGAGUCAAUGUCCAAUUAUAUCUCAAUUUCAACGACUACUAAAUAUAUCAUGAACAAUACUAUAGCAAUUAAAACCAAUCAAAAAGAUACAUCAACAUUUCUUUGUCAGAUGGAUCAAUCAAAUGAAAAGCCGGAUUUUGGCAAUGUGGCCGAAAUUUCGGGCGAAAGAUUAUAUAAACUGGACUGUGUAGCUCAGUUGGUUAGAGCACUGCACCGAAAUCGCAGGUUUGGUUCCUGCCAGAGGGUCUCCAGUUGCAUUUUUCGCAGCCGCUCCUGGUUUGGUCUAAAGUUCUAUAUAAUCUUCUGCUCGAAAUUACAAAAACCCAA